AAACCAACAGGGAUUACCUCAGUAACGGCGAGUGAAGCGGUAAAAGCUCAAAUUUGAAAUCUUCGGAAUUGUAAUUUGAUGGAUAAAAUUUGCCUCCGGUCGAAAGUUCACUGGAAAGUGACGCCAUAGAGGGUGAUAGCCCCGUAACGUCCACCGGCACUAUAAUUUUAUUCCAAAGAGUCGGGUUGUUUGGGAAUGCAGCUCAAAGUGGGUGGUAAAUUCCAUCUAAAGCUAAAUAUUGACGAGAGACCGAUAGCGAACAAGUACAGUGAUGGAAAGAUGAAAAGAACUUUGAAAAGAGAGUGAAACAGUACGUGAAAUUGUUGAAAGGGAAGGGGAGGGAAGAUGUUAAAGGGAACUCCUUCAGCGUAGGGAUCCCCCCAAAGAGUCUUUCCUCUCGCCCGUCUUGAGA
Molecule: ribosomal RNA, 412 nt
Filed under: Metschnikowia borealis
Lineage: Eukaryota; Fungi; Ascomycota; Pichiomycetes; Serinales; Metschnikowiaceae
Description: LSU rRNA
Rfam family: Eukaryotic large subunit ribosomal RNA
Source: RNAcentral